RNAcentral lists this non-coding RNA (25 nucleotides) under Drosophila erecta. Lineage: Eukaryota; Metazoa; Arthropoda; Insecta; Diptera; Drosophilidae. The record is from RNAcentral. RNAcentral also lists the same sequence under 7 other names.
CGCCUGCCACGCGGGAGGCCCGGGU